GGCUACGAUGGGUAGGGGUCCUGAGAGGGAGAUCCCCCACACUGGUACUGAGACACGGACCAGACUCCUACGGGAGGCAGCAGUGAGGAAUAUUGGUCAAUGGGCGCAAGCCUGAACCAGCCAUGCCGCGUGCAGGAUGACGGUCCUAUGGAUUGUAAACUGCUUUUGUACGAGAAGAAACACUACUUCGUGAAGUAGCUUGACGGUAUCGUAAGAAUAAGGAUCGGCUAACUCCGUGCCAGCAGCCGCGGUAAUAAGGGCGAUCC
This 266-nucleotide ribosomal RNA is filed under the name uncultured bacterium. RNAcentral's name for it is "partial 16S ribosomal RNA". It matches the Rfam family "Bacterial small subunit ribosomal RNA", at positions 272 to 535 of the family's 1533-position model. The record is from RNAcentral.